GACGAACGCUGGCGGCAUGCCUUACACAUGCAAGUCGAACGGUAACAGGUCUUCGGAUGCUGACGAGUGGCGAACGGGUGAGUAAUACAUCGGAACGUGCCUAGUAGUGGGGGAUAACUACUCGAAAGAGUGGCUAAUACCGCAUGAGAUCCACGGAUGAAAGCAGGGGAUCGCAAGACCUUGUGCUACUAGAGCGGCCGAUGGCAGAUUAGGUAGUUGGUGGGAUAAAAGCUUACCAAGCCGACGAUCUGUAGCUGGUCUGAGAGGACGAUCAGCCACACUGGGACUGAGACACGGCCCAGACUCCUACGGGAGGCAGCGGUGGGGAAUUUUGGACAAUGGGCGAAAGCCUGAUCCAGCAAUGCCGCGUGCAGGAUGAAGGCCUUCGGGUUGUAAACUGCUUUUGUACGGAACGAAAAGCCCCGGGUUAAUACCCUGGGGUCAUGACGGUACCGUAAGAAUAAGCACCGGCUAACUACGUGCCAGCCGCCGCCGUAA
RNAcentral lists this ribosomal RNA (498 nucleotides) under uncultured bacterium. RNAcentral's name for it is "partial 16S ribosomal RNA". It matches the Rfam family "Bacterial small subunit ribosomal RNA", at positions 28 to 523 of the family's 1533-position model. The record is from RNAcentral.